GAUGAACGCUGGCGGCGUGGAUAAGGCAUGCAAGUCAAACGGGCUGUAGCAAUACAGUCAGUGGCAGACGAGGUAGUAAUAAGCAGGUACUAACCCCUAAGUCAGGAAUACCUCAUCGAAAGAUGAGUUAAUACUUGAUAGUCUCUUCGGAGUAAAGAUUUAUCGCUUAGGGAUAGGCCUGUUCAGUAUCAGCUAGUUGGUAGGGUAAAGGCCUACCAAGGCUAAGACGCUUAGGGGAGCUGAGAGGCUGACCCCCCACGAUGGAACUGAGACACGGUCCAUACACCUACGGGUGGCCGCAGUCGAGAAUCUUCCGCAAUGGGCGAAAGCCUGACGGAGCGACGCCGCGUGAUUGAUGAAGUCCUUAGGGACGUAAAAAUCUUUUGCCAGGGAGAAAGUUUUAUUGAUAGUACUUGGCGAAUAAGAGGUUGCUAAACUCGUG
This 442-nucleotide ribosomal RNA is filed under the name uncultured bacterium. Its description in RNAcentral is "bacterial SSU rRNA". It matches the Rfam family "Bacterial small subunit ribosomal RNA", at positions 28 to 507 of the family's 1533-position model. The record is from RNAcentral.